UGGUGCUCGUGCUCCUGGCAGGAGCAAGGCAAGCCCACAACACCCUGGUGAGAGUGAGGCAGGCCUCCUAGCGGGAGUGUGGGGGUGGUGGCCACGCUCUCCCUGACUGUUGCGGCGAUGGACGGGCUCUCUCUGGCCAAGGCAGCGUGGAUCAUGCGCGGAAGAGAGUCAUCUGCAUCAUUGGGGUGGCUAGAUUCAGCGUCAUGGGCAUCAACUUCGGCAGUGGGGGGUGAGCGAAUCUAGAAGCGCUCCUCCCCUCCCCUCCUUUGUUUCUAGAUCCGCUGGCUAAGGGCCCGAGCCGAUGUUGAGCGACCUGAUUGAUGUUGGCACCAGUGACAGUGACAACCCGAUGGGCUCGGCGGGCCUGUGGAUGGGCUUGUUGAGCAUGUCCAUAGGUUUUCUUAUUGUUUUUUAUUUUAUUUAUCGUGGCAGACAUUUGAACCGUCUCGGUAAAUCAUUGAUUUACUAUGACCUUUCGUUUAAGGCGGUUGCAAAAACCGCCUCGGUUAAUGUAUUUUACCGCCAUGGUCAAGUUUUUCGUAGUAGUGGAAUCUAUAUCUCAUCAGUUUUUUUUCAAUGUCCCAUUGCAAGAGUAA
This is a long non-coding RNA of Sorghum bicolor (sorghum), 596 nucleotides long. RefSeq lists it as uncharacterized. Lineage: Eukaryota; Viridiplantae; Streptophyta; Magnoliopsida; Poales; Poaceae. The record is from RefSeq and is a predicted model, not a curated record. The transcript has 2 exons.